Molecule: non-coding RNA, 821 nt
Organism: Pelobates cultripes (western spadefoot toad)
Lineage: Eukaryota; Metazoa; Chordata; Amphibia; Anura; Pelobatidae
Source: the annotation of a GenBank genome assembly
AAUAGUCUUAUCAUACUGCUCCUAGCCUUAUUACACCAUAAGAAAGUAUUUGAUUAAGCUGUAGUGAUUAUGGUGCUUAGAGCGACUCUUUAAUGAAUUGAUUCUCUUCUAGUGAGUGCUCCUUCCUAUGUGCUGUAAAUACAUGGACUUGUCUUUGUUUUGGGGGAAAACAAAUGUCCCUUAAUGCUCUCACACAAAGUAAAGUCAGUCUCUCAUUCACAAGACGGUUUUAGGAUUUGAAAGUGCUACCCAUUGCCUUCAUCCUUACAUUGCUUGCCAGCUGUAAAAAUGACGUAGCAUAUCUUAGAAAAAAAAACUAAUUCAGAAUUCAACUUCUGUUUGUUUUUUGUUCGUUUUUGUAUGUUUUCAUCCAUAAUUAAUUACAUCCUUUUCCCCUGAGCUUACAAGGACUUCCAAUGAUGGGGCUGACAUUAGAAAUAACCCCAUUAAAUCACGAUAACCUGCCGCAUCUUCUCGGCAUAUUAAUAUUUUUGUACCGCUAGUGUUUAUGGCAAGAUAUCUGUUUCAGACUGCAUUACCCUGUAUUAAUGCUUUGCCAAUUCCUGAAAGGGUUAAUAAAUGUUUAAUUUCGAUGUUAAAUUGUUUUAUAGCCGUUUGCCGCCCAGUAAUGUUAGUUUUGUGGCACCAACCUGGUGCAGUUGGGAGAAUCUCAUGUACAGUCCUUAAUUUGUUUCCCAUUUUUUUUUAUUUAUUUUUUUAAAUGUAGAAUUCUGAAAGGGCUUGACUCCCAUAAAGCAUAUUAAAAUGAUAUGUGUUGCUUUGUUCUUUGUUUAUUGGGAAGGGGAAAAAUGCUGUUCUGU